Macaca mulatta (Rhesus monkey) is the source of this 8466-nucleotide non-coding RNA. Lineage: Eukaryota; Metazoa; Chordata; Mammalia; Primates; Cercopithecidae. The record is from RefSeq and is a predicted model, not a curated record.
UCUGACGUCAUGUUGCGCUUGCGCUAUUAAGUAACAAUUUUCCCCGGGCGCGGGGAAAAGUGGGUGAAGAAGCAGGAAGAGCGCCAUCUUUAAUGAGGUAUUAGUACAGGGGAAAAAAGGCAAAGAUAGGGAGAAGGUGUGGGGUGGAAAUGAAUAUAGCUCAGGCGUUUAAUCCUCAGUUAUUAUUCGCUAUGGCCGGGGCGUGCAGCUCCAGACAGAGGACGGCCACCUGGGGGAUGGGCCCCACACCAACAGGGUCAGCGUUCCACAGUGGGAAAGUUAAGGCUUUGCUCACAGGCAGGAGCUGAGAUGUCCGAGUCAUGCUGUUCUCCACAGACCAGUGUGUGCGCUACAGCGACUUGCCCCAUUACAGAUGGUGCACUCCACCAAGUGAGGAGCAGUGAUCUCAGGGGCCUCGUCUCCAGUGCAUUUGGUCGUUUACAGGGAAAGAAAGGCAGAGGUUGCAGCUGCAUGCGUCAUGGCUCCAGCUGCAUAGCUGCAUUCCUUCCAAUACUCACAACAGUUUUCUGAGUGCUUUUUAAAUUGUACUUUCAGGGGGCACAUGUGCCGCUCUGCUGCAUAAAUAUGUUGCAUGGUGUGGGGUUUGGGUUACUUUUGAACUCAUCACCCAGACAGCGAACGUAGUGCUCAGCUUUUCAACCCUUGUACCCCUUCCUCCUUCCCUCUUCCCUUUUGGAGACUCCAGAGUAAAGUUCCAAUGGCAUUAAGUUUGAAUUAAGUUUGACUUACUCAGUUUCACACAGCUUUAUAACCAAAGGCCACACAAUCAUGUUACCUCUCAGGAAAGCAAGGGGCUCUGUAGCGUCUUGGCUGUUGUGUGAGCGAUGUCCACUAAUGCAGCCUUCAUUUCAAGUUCUCCUCUCCUUCCUCCUCCAUUCAGGAUCUAUCAAGGGGAAGGUGAUGGGCUGUGACAUGAGUCACACUCACAGGAUCCCUGUAGCGUGGAAACAGAACAGUGUCUUCUGAUCUCAAGGUGGUUAGCAUGUUUCUAAUUCCCAUGGAAAUUGGUUUGCUAGUGCCUACCACAAAGCUGCUUACAUUUGCGGGGGUGGGGGGGGAUCAAAUGAUCUCACCUGCAUUUUCACUGCUGUGACCUCUUUUCUGGAUCUGAGAGGGAGGACAGCAGGUACCUGUCCCACGUCGUGGGCCACAUCCCUGGCUCUCUGCUUGCAGAAGAGGUACCAGGAUACAGCCCUCGAGAAGCAUAGAGAGGGCACAACUGAGAGACGCUUAAGGAAUAAAGGGAGUAAGGUUAAAGAUCCAGUUGUUACCACCUGAGCCUAAUGUUACCACUAAUGGUGGAUGUCAGACACCAUGUGACCCUGCUGUGCACAGGGCCCAAGAGCUACCCUGAAAGAAAGCAGCAGCUGGGAUUAACCCAGCCUUUAGAUCCAACUUCUUGUUUGUAGGAAGUGCUAAGGAUGGAGGAGUGAGUUAAACACCUCAAACAACAGUGUGUUCAGGAAAAGCUGGGAGGGAAGGGAGGGACACGGGGGGCUCCUGAUUCCAACAUGAGAAGAUUUCAGAGACAGAACCACCAUAUAUGAUGCAUGAUCAUGGUUUUGGGGGAAAAACAGGUAAAAGGUAUUUUCCAAUUUUCCAGACAAUUGGGCGCGCACACACAUGCGCGCGCACGCACACACACACACACACACACACACUAGAUGAUAUAGGAAAUUAAUUUUGUUAGGUGUGCCAAUGAUACUGCACUUAUGCAGACAGCAUCUUUUUUUUUUUUUUUUUAAGAAAUACAUCUUGAAGUACUUGGGGGUGAUAUGUUGUCGGUAAUUUACUUUUAAAUGGUUAACUAAAUAUAUGUAUGCACACACAAAGCAAAUAUGACAAAUACAACCAUUAUUGAAUUUCAGUAGCUGAGUUUAUGGGUGUCCAUUGUACUAUAUACUUUUGCAUAGAUUUUUUCAUCAUAAAAAAUUUAAAAACUGAAAUUGUCAACCUCCCCCCACCCCAAAAAAGCCAAAUUAAAAUACACACGGUUAAUUAUGAGAAUUAACCACUAUUUGAGGAUUAAGUGUGAUUUGUUUCUCUUCCUUCACCCCACUGGCCUCAGGAAUGAAAAACACUUUAAAGGGAGAAAAAAGUAAAACUCUGACCGCGAUCCUCCACCCCAUCCUGUCCUGUCUGCUUCUUGUGUCAGAGCCACUGAGGGAAAAUCACUAUUUAAAUGGUCACAAUGGCUGGGCGCAGUGGCCUACACCCAGCACUUCGGGAGACUGAGGCAGGAGGAUCACUUGAGCCCAGGAGUUGGAGGUUAUGCUGAGCCCUGAUCGUGCCACUGCAUUCCAGCCUGGGUGACAGAGCAAGACCCUGUCUCUAAAGAAAAUUUUUUAAUAAAAACAAAUAAAUUGUCACACAUUCCUAAGGUGCAUUAGACUUUGCUGGGAGACGGCCUUUCUAGUUCACCAUUGAGCUUAGCAUUUCCUGCUGUUAAAAUUAGAAUAACUUUUAUUCAGGAUGUGCUCCUCCGAGAUGAAACGGAUGUCCGAUUCUGGGAGCCGGAGGAACACGCUGCAGUGCACUUCCAGACUCUGGGAGGAGUGGGCAGGCACACAGAAUCUCAGGAAGACGGUCCAGGGCAGCGGGGACAUCCAUCGUGUGCUGACGGUCAGCUCUGACAGCCCGGCUUGAAGCUGCCUUCUAAGGAUAGAGACUGAACAGAGACUCCAUGUGUCCUGGGCCCCAACAGACAAAAUCAGAAUGUGCAGGAGCCUGGGCAAAUGAACCUAUGACCCUGGGCAGCUGGCAGACUUUAAAAGCAAAUUCCAGGUUCAAGCCUGUCUUUUUAAAUAUCUGCCCAAGGCUGCCAUGGACCAAAUUCCUAAAGAUACCUUGUUGCCCUAGAAAUGUCUUCAAAACUCAGUAACCCACUAGUUUUCCCACUUUGUCCAGAGACUUGGCUCCCACCUCCCCGAGCUAUAUGACCUUCCAUCAAAUCCACGCUCCACACAAAGAAAAUAGCACCUAAUUCUGAUGAAAAUGUCUGCCCAUGGGACAAAGCCCUGCAGGGCCCAGCCUUGGCCUCGAGGGAAGGCAGGAUUGGGGGUAUGACACUAGCCCCCCCCCCCCCACAAGAGCUGUGCCUCACCUCACACAACCUCCCUGGUCCUCACUGGGUGAGGUAGAAAUGCCACCGGCUCUACUUCCUGUUGAUGUGCGGACAUUGAUCCUCUCUAGGGUUGAGAACCAGUAUUUAGACCCAGAAAUGGACUUCAUGGCAUCAAGGGAGAAACAAGCAAGAGUAGAAAAUGAACAAAAUGAACAAAACAAACAGGAGGGGACCGCAAUGGACAGUGGUUCACAGAAGAGGGCCUGUUUCAGAAGAAAGAAAAGCCUCUUGGGGGUGGCACACAGGUGAGAGGACCCAAUGGGUCAGGGCACCAAGGAGCCAGCCAGGUGAGCUGGACCCUUGGUGGCACAGGGACCUCAGGAUCUGCAAGAGGAUUCUAUGAAAGCACAUGCUUUAAGAGGCUGCAGGUGAGCCUGCCCGAGAACACCUCCCACACGAGUUGCCCCACGCUCUCCAGGCUUGCCCCCUCCACUGGCUGUUCGGCAGUUCCAGCCCUGAAGCCCCUCUUCACAGGGCCUCCCACCAUCCCCAACCCUGUCCUCACCCACCAGCUUCCUCAGCAAGCAAUUCUUUAAUCAAUUUUAAAGAGUAUUAAGUAUGUUACAGAAUAGAUGGCACUCGUGUGACAAAAAUGAGAAAUCCAAGAACUGAAGUUCAGAAGGCCCAGCCCCAACCACACCCCUGACUUUUCUCCUGUGAAUGGAAGGGCGUUUCAGAACCCCAGUGGUACAUGCUACCAGGGCAGGUCUCCCUUCUGCUUCCAAUGCCUUCUACUCCCCGGGCCCAGGGCUCAGCCAUGGGAGGAGCCAGUGCAGCUGUCACGCGGGCGUCUCCUGUGGGUGUCCUGUGAGGGUGGCUGUUAUGCGGUGGCUGCACAGGAAGCAGCCAUGGUAUCUGGGGUUGGGAGGCAGCAGGGGACCCAAAUCUGGCUCCUGCAAACCCUGGGGACCAUGUCCCAGUGAAAGCACCACCCUGGGCCAAGACCCUGAAACACUAGAGAAGCUUUGGCAAGGUGCUUUCACGUAGAAUGGAGGGAGACAAAAGUGGCUUCCUGGCAUUUGGGAGGGAGGUGGCAGGGGCUGCGUGCAGAGCUGGGAUGCAGGCCUGAAAGCUGCAUCUCCUCCACGGAGAGCACCUCAGACCCUGACCUCAGCAGCAGGCCAGGGUUGGGAAGGGUGCGCCUUCAAGCUGAUCGUGUUUUGAGUACUUCAUAGAACAUGUUGCAGUCGGGCCAGGCUGAGGCUGGGCCCACAAGUGGACCCCACAGAGCACAGCUCAGAUCAGUAGAGAGAGGCCCAGAGUAGGGAGUUGCCCAGGCUGCACUCAUGUUGCUGGCAUAGGCCAUGGCCUCCUGAGACAGUACUCGGGCCACCGCACACCUUACAAAGGAUGCCACCCACCUGGCCAGGGGAGGCCCAGACUUGACACAGAGGCCCCAGAACCACACAGCACCAAACCCCAUCAGGGCCCAGCAGCUUCAAAACAAACUCAGAGCCAAACAGGUGUCUGCCUUGGUGCAAAGAUCCCAACUUCAGCAUCUGACCCCAAAACCCACACCAGAGGGGGACCCCCCUAGGGAAACGCCAGAGGUCAUGGUAGCGGGAGGCGCCUUCCAGAAGGGAGCCCCAACACUCUCACAGUGGCUCAGACCUGGCGCAGGCACAGCCCUUUCCUGCCCAGACUCGGGACGUGGCCUUGGCCUCGAGCCUGCCCAUCCUGAGCAGGCUGUCCCUGGUGGUCUGUGUGAGCUUCUCUGCACCUGUGAUACUUUGCCUCAUUCCUGGGAAAUGCUGCAUACAUAGCCACAACUGAAUCAAGGUUGCCCUUCCUCCCCACCUCAGCCUGCAGUCCCCCAUCAUCACUUGUCAUUCCACCUGCAACAGAACAAACUCAUUCCAGGCAUUCAAGAGCGGGACUCUCAGACCUCACUCAGCAUCUACAAAAUGGGCACAGCAAUGCCAGCCUUGCAGGACUGUGCUAAGGCCCCAAAGGGAGGCAAGGGCAAAGCACAGGUGUGUGACGGGUGUGGCACACACAGGUUUCAGUGCCUGCUGGGGCCCAGCAGGGCAAGGCCACAGGCUGGUGUUGCUGCUCUAAGCCCUUCCACCUGUCCCCUCCCUAAAAAGCAACAGGAGCUCACAUAGAUGUCGCCUGAGCCUAUCCCAGCCGACUGCAGCAGCAGAGGCAGCCGAGCCUCCUUCCAAAGCCCACAGGAACAGGCAGGCAGCAUGGUCAGGCAGCCCUGCCACUUGUCACUGUUUAAAAAUUAGAUUAUUUUUUAAUAACCUAAGAACAAGUACAUAAACAACCUAAAUAAUAAGUUUUCAUUUUGCUCACUUCUAGUUUUAUUUCUCAGCUGAGGUUUUUUGGCAGAAAGUUUAGUUGAAUCCUCAAACACAGCUGGCUGUAUGAGCUGGAGUUUUCCACUUCAGGGAACUGAAAUAUAUUAAUUCAAUCAAAAAUAGUUUACUUCCUCGGGGGAAGUAAACUGAUUUUGUUUUGUUUACCUCCCUCCCAGCCCAGCCUUUCACUGUGCCAAGUCACUGCCUAAAUUUAAUAGCUUGACAUUCUGGGAGGCCAAUGGCCUUCACCUGGGGAGGGAGCGGGGGUCAGCAAGGGGUGCAUUUUCAGCUCACCGUGCUCAAGUUGAGACGGAAAGCGACGGACCUGACGCCCCCUAAGGCUUUCAACCCAGUGGAGUAGAAAGCCCCAGACACUGCAACAUUCCUGCCUGGCAGGCGGUCUCCUCUGUGCCUGGACUGCUCUGAGCUGACUCCACCCCAGGCUGUGCCUGCCUCCGUUUGGUAAAUUAUGACUUUUUUCCCAUGAUGCCCACAUGGAAGCUGCACCUCCUCAGGGUGAGCAGGUACAUGAAGCGCGCACGCAGCCAGACAGCAGGACACGCACGUGACGGGCAGAGGCGAAGCUUCAGAGACGGCACCAGCAGGACCCCAGGCUUCCAGCUGCUGCCUCGCUUCCCCGCAAUCCAAGGUGGAGCUGCUGAGACAGCGGAUGGCGUAUCUAGGAAGCACCACAGCAGCAAGGGGGACACACUCCAGCUCCAACGGGAAUGUGUCCGCAUCACCAGAUGACCCGUGUUCUUGAGGCAACGUGGCAGCAAAAGGUGGGUUUGCCUCAUCAAAGGCCGCCCACACCAGUGCACUAACAUCAGAUUGUCUUGUGUUAAAAAAUACAGAUUGCCAAGAAAAAGUGGCUUUUAAAAUAAAUGCAUUGUUAAAUCUGAUGUUCUCAGGAGUCAACAUAGCAGAGAAGUAAAAGUACAGGGUACUGACGAUAGAUAAAAGCACCAGGUAUUGACAACAAGGAGAUAAAACCCACAUCCAAGAUCUCAGAGACCCUGGCCCAGGCGGGCAGGUGGAACCAGGGAUGGAAGUCCACAGCCGGUCCCUCACCUGCCAGCAGCGUCAUCAACUCUUACCUACCUGCUGAUGCCAUUUAAAAGUAAAACCUUCUCGGCUGUCGCUGUGAAUGAAGCCUGUGGCUUCCCAGGUAGAGUCGGGGCUAGCCGCAGGACUGGAUCAAUAAGGCUGCCAGUACUCAGCGUGCUGCCCUUAGAGGGAGUCCCCGCCCCCAGCAGGUUAAGAACUCCCAGUAACAACAACGGGUGCUGUGCUCACGACCUCAGAACGUGGCAGGCUCCUGGGCCAUCGCAGUGACUCACAGCAGUCCUAAGAGACAGGCCUGCUGCUUCCCGUUGUGCAGGAGGAACAGGGUCUCUGAGGCCGAGUUGCAAACAAACACCCACACGGUGGUGAGUUCAGGACGGGGCCUCACAGGUGGCAUCACCACCACCUCAGGAUGGGCAGAGGGAUGCCUGGCAGGCAGGCACACUGGAUACUAGUUGUGACCUUCCAGUUGUCAGGACCUGUACUGGUAAUCCCAGUCAACAUCGCCUUCCUUCCACAGCAGCUGCUCUUGGCUCCUCACUACACAAGGGUCCCUAGCAGUGUGCCCCGGGGUGUGGCGUCCCUGCUGUCCCAGGGCUGUCAGCCCAGCAAGGAAGAGACGCCCCACAGAAAGAACACCCUGAACACAGCCAGGACGAGAAGGACAACCAGGAAGCUUGGUGUGAGCAUCUGGGCUGAAGGGAGGGCGGCUCCAUGGAACCGUUCCGCUGACCUCUCAAGACAGGAGAAAAAGGGCCACGGAUGAAGUGGUGGUGAUCAGCCCCUAACCUGGACACUUCACAGCCAAAGAAGCUACCGGAGAAACGUGUGGUGCCAGUUGCCUCCCACGCUGGGCCACACCACUCAGCCCAAGUUCUCGGUGGGCUUCAGGAUGCUGCCGGGGGGUGAUGUGGCUCUGAGCACGGACCCGUCCCCGCCUGCCCGCCUGCUGCCUCGCUCCCAAGGCCCCACAUUCCUGCCCAAACCUCACGGGAAAUGUCACUGUCUACACCACCCCCACCACAAACACCCAGAGUUGUCUUCCUGGAGGUGGCAGCUUUUACAGCAACUACACCAGUGAGUCCUGAAUUCCCAGCAGAGGCUGAAUUCCCAGCAGGGGCUGAUGGGCACCAGCUGUAUUCCGCAAGGCCCCUCACCCGCCCAAACCCCGUGCCUCCUGCCGUUAGCUCUUUAUAAUUAAAGUGUUUAAACAGACAAGCACCUUUGCUUAUAGCUAUUCAAGACUAAUCUAAGAUGCAGAAAACCUAAUCUAAGAUUAGGAAGUAUUCAGUAUUUCACAGAUUCACCAAUAUCCUUCAAGCUUCACUAUUUUCUCCUCAAAGCCCUCUGAGAACACUCUGACAUUAUAAACAGAAAAGAGCCUGAAGUCAACAGCCGGGACCCCUUCUCAGGGCUGGUGCUGCGGGCCAAGGCCUCAGUGAAAGGGCCACACUGAGCAGCCUCAGGGCACUGCCGGGCACUGCAGAGACUGCUCGGCUACCAAACAGCGCAGCUCCAAUGUUUGAAGUACUGAGCUGUCUUCUUUCAGUAGAAUUUUACACUUUUGGACAACGGCCAAAAGCUAGUUCACUUUUCUGUUAUUAGCUAAAAGCUUAAGUUUUCAUUUCCAUGUGAUUCUUCCUUCACAGUAGGAAUCUCAAAGGUUCUCAGGUAACAGAGUAGUGCUUUUCCUUAAAUAGGUGCAGUCAACUGGCUGGACUUGCAGCUUCCCUAACAGCAGAGCAGUCCUGAGCCCAGCGGCCAGUGAGAGGUGGUGGCGGUGGCCUGCCCCUGUGCCCCUCAGGGCUGCAGCAACAACCAGAUGUCAAUGCACAAGCCCCAGUGGCAGGGUGAGGGCUGGUGGCCACUGCCAACCACUGACAAAGCCACCACAGCAGCUCUAGUAGGUAUGAAGAACUACAAAACAAUAAAUCACUUAAAUCUGAGGCUGAA